Molecule: long non-coding RNA, 392 nt
Organism: Xiphophorus couchianus (Monterrey platyfish)
Lineage: Eukaryota; Metazoa; Chordata; Actinopteri; Cyprinodontiformes; Poeciliidae
Exons: 2
Source: RefSeq, a predicted model, not a curated record
UCACAUCUAAAAGAAAAAAAUCCCCCAGAAAAAUAAAUAAUUCUGAGCAUUCUGAAUACAGUUUGAAUGCAUAUUUAGGGCUGUUGUCCUUCUGGCUUUCUGCUGUUUCUAACAGCUUUCAUUUCAGAUUUGCUCUGCAUUUAGCUUCAUCCAUUUUUUGAUCAACUCUGAUCAAUUUCUCUUUCUCUGGUGUUUAAAGAGCCCUCCACACCUGCCACCUGCCACCACCAUGUUUGGCAAUUUUCACGGAUUUUUCCAGGGUGACGUGCAGAUUUAGCAAUAUCAAAAUGUGAUGCUACAUGUCAGACCACUCCCUGUGUCCCAGCAAGAAACAAAGCUGGAUGAAGGAAUGAACUGGCUUCAGACCAAGGAAAAGAAAAAAAAAAAAAAAA